UACGUAGGGUGCAAGCGUUGUCCGGAAUUAUUGGGCGUAAAGAGCUCGUAGGCGGCUUGUCACGUCGACUGUGAAAACCCGAGGCUCAACCUCGGGCCUGCAGUCGAUACGGGCAGGCUAGAGUUCGGUAGGGGAGACUGGAAUUCCUGGUGUAGCGGUGAAAUGCGCAGAUAUCAGGAGGAACACCGGUGGCGAAGGCGGGUCUCUGGGCCGAAACUGACGCUGAGGGACGAAAGCUAGGGGAGCGAAUGGG
This 253-nucleotide ribosomal RNA is filed under the name uncultured bacterium. RNAcentral describes it as "partial 16S ribosomal RNA". It matches the Rfam family "Bacterial small subunit ribosomal RNA", at positions 524 to 776 of the family's 1533-position model. The record is from RNAcentral.